Molecule: ribosomal RNA, 1371 nt
Filed under: uncultured bacterium
Lineage: Bacteria
Description: bacterial SSU rRNA
Rfam family: Bacterial small subunit ribosomal RNA
Source: RNAcentral
GAUGAACGCUGGCGGCGUGCCUAAUACAUGCAAGUCGAGCGAACGGACGAGAAGCUUGCUUCUCUGAUGUUAGCGGCGGACGGGUGAGUAACACGUGGAUAACCUACCUAUAAGACUGGGAUAACUUCGGGAAACCGGAGCUAAUACCGGAUAAUAUUUUGAACCGCAUGGUUCAAAAGUGAAAGACGGUCUUGCUGUCACUUAUAGAUGGAUCCGCGCUGCAUUAGCUAGUUGGUAAGGUAACGGCUUACCAAGGCAACGAUGCAUAGCCGACCUGAGAGGGUGAUCGGCCACACUGGAACUGAGACACGGUCCAGACUCCUACGGGAGGCAGCAGUAGGGAAUCUUCCGCAAUGGGCGAAAGCCUGACGGAGCAACGCCGCGUGAGUGAUGAAGGUCUUCGGAUCGUAAAACUCUGUUAUUAGGGAAGAACAUAUGUGUAAGUAACUGUGCACAUCUUGACGGUACCUAAUCAGAAAGCCACGGCUAACUACGUGCCAGCAGCCGCGGUAAUACGUAGGUGGCAAGCGUUAUCCGGAAUUAUUGGGCGUAAAGCGCGCGUAGCGGUUUUUCAAGUCUGAUGUGAAAGCCCACGGCUCAACCGUGGAGGGUCAUUGGAAACUGGAAAACUUGAGUGCAGAAGAGGAAAGUGGAAUUCCAUGUGUAGCGGUGAAAUGCGCAGAGAUAUGGAGGAACACCAGUGGCGAAGGCGACUUUCUGGUCUGUAACUGACGCUGAUGUGCGAAAGCGUGGGGAUCAAACAGGAUUAGAUACCCUGGUAGUCCACGCCGUAAACGAUGAGUGCUAAGUGUUAGGGGGUUUCCGCCCCUUAGUGCUGCAGCUAACGCAUUAAGCACUCCGCCUGGGGAGUACGACCGCAAGGUUGAAACUCAAAGGAAUUGACGGGGACCCGCACAAGCGGUGGAGCAUGUGGUUUAAUUCGAAGCAACGCGAAGAACCUUACCAAAUCUUGACAUCCUUUGACAACUCUAGAGAUAGAGCCUUCCCCUUCGGGGGACAAAGUGACAGGUGGUGCAUGGUUGUCGUCAGCUCGUGUCGUGAGAUGUUGGGUUAAGUCCCGCAACGAGCGCAACCCUUAAGCUUAGUUGCCAUCAUUAAGUUGGGCACUCUAAGUUGACUGCCGGUGACAAACCGGAGGAAGGUGGGGAUGACGUCAAAUCAUCAUGCCCCUUAUGAUUUGGGCUACACACGUGCUACAAUGGACAAUACAAAGGGCAGCGAAACCGCGAGGUCAAGCAAAUCCCAUAAAGUUGUUCUCAGUUCGGAUUGUAGUCUGCAACUCGACUACAUGAAGCUGGAAUCGCUAGUAAUCGUAGAUCGGCAUGCUACGGUGAAUACGUUCCCGGGUCU